CCGCCUCCUCGCCGUGUCGGCCGCCGCCGCUCCCGCGCCCUCGGCCCCGUCAGCCCGCGUGGUCCGCGCGCCGCAGGACGGAAGCUUGAUCACAGCUAGAGCAAACUUUGUGCACGGGAGGAAGGCACCGGUUUCAAGCGUACUCCCCGAGCACUGAGAAAACCCCAGUCGUCGAGGACUUGCUUGGCCGAACAACAGGUUUGAAUCAUCCCUCCUCCUCCUCUUCCUUCCCCGAAGUGGAGGGGCCGGGCCGAGAAACUGCUUCACUGCAUCCAGAGGAUCCAAUAUUUGGGAGUAUGCUUGAGAAAACAGAGCUUCAGGAAAAGCUGAGAAUGACCUCUCUUUGGCUGACUCACUCUGACUUUAAAGUAAUAUGUCUUUACAGAACAUGGUGAAAGAAGAGAGUCAAGUUGGCAAUUAGGUGUUCUCUUAACUGCCUACUUUGAUUGAUUGUGAUGGGCCACCUGGAACAUGGUGUUAAGAAGCAUUUUCGGCCCAAUUCCAGGCUCAGUGGAAAAGAGGAAAAUCCUUACUUUUUGCUACAGGUAAAACAAUAGUGAGUAACAAUGUUUGCUGGGAGUAGGUUGGGGUCAGGAUUUGGCCCAAGCUUAUUACUGACAAAUUGAAACAUAUACAGGGGUUGGACCAUGUGGCAGGAUUAAUUGUAUGACUAUGGGGGAGGUGAUGAGGUAUGUUAGGUGGCAGAAGUGCACAGACAAGAUGGAAACGGGUGCUUAGGGUGUAUAUCCAAGAUCUAGGCCCAAAAUAAUCACAACAACCAGCUUGGGGAUGGAGAUGCUGUCAGAUUACACCAAAGGGAAUGAGCUAUCAAUGAAAGAUUUUUUUUUUUUAAUGCAGUGACUUGGGUCCUAUUGUUCCAGAUCCAGCAUUUUAAUCCUGGCACUUGAUGGCAAUGGAUACAAGAGUGACAAAAGAUGAGGGUGUCAUGGUCAGUACCUAAGGAGGCAGAGCAUGUGUCUUCUUUGGUUCAGGAUACUUUAAUUUUUCUUGAGAGUAAACAUUUUCAUAAUGUGAAUUUGCAGUAUUCAAUGAUAUUUAAUUCGUUAUAGAGAAUAAGAAAACAAAUGAGAUGGAUAAGACUCAAAGUGUGUCAAAUGGCUUACAAGAUAUAUAUAAAAUUAAUUAGAUGGGUUAAGUAUACAAAGUAAGUUACCUAAAAGACAUGUUAAAAAAUAGAAUAGUUGGGAUAUACAAUAAGAAGUAUAUAUAUACUUUUUUGGUUCUAUAUAUAUAUAUGUAUGCAUAUAUAUGAAAGGUAGAAGUACUAAAAGGCACAAAAUAUUCAUGACAUACUAAAUAAACUAAGGCACAUGAAGCA
RNAcentral lists this long non-coding RNA (1339 nucleotides) under Canis lupus dingo (dingo). RNAcentral describes it as "lncRNA (ENSCAFG00020012832.1)". The record is from RNAcentral. Lineage: Eukaryota; Metazoa; Chordata; Mammalia; Carnivora; Canidae.